GGGGGUAGCUCAGUGGUAGAGCGCAUGCUGAGCACGCAUGAGGUCCUGGGUUCAAUCCCCAGUGCCUCCA
Molecule: transfer RNA, 70 nt
Organism: Camelus ferus (Wild Bactrian camel)
Lineage: Eukaryota; Metazoa; Chordata; Mammalia; Artiodactyla; Camelidae
Rfam family: tRNA
About the family: Transfer RNA (tRNA) molecules are approximately 80 nucleotides in length. Their secondary structure includes four short double-helical elements and three loops (D, anti-codon, and T loops).
Source: Rfam